CCUACGGGCGGCAGCAGUGGGGAAUAUUGCACAAUGGGGGAAACCCUGAUGCAGCGACGCCGCGUGAGCGAUGACGUCUUUCGGUAUGUAAAGCUCUAUCAGUAGGGACGUAAAUGACGGUACCUGACUAACAAUCCCCGGCUAACUACGUGCCAGCAGCCGCGGUAAUACGUCGGGGGCAAGCGUUAUCCGGAUUUACUGGGUGUAAUGGGAGCGUAGACGGUCCGGCAAGCCAGAUGUGAAAGCCCGGGGCUCAACCGCGGGACUGCAGUUGGAACUGUAAGGCUAGAGUGUCGGAGAGGCAGGCGGAAUUCCUGGUGUAGCGGUGAAAUGCGUAGAUAUUAGGAGGAACACCAGUGGCGAAGGCGGCCUGCUGGACGAUGACUGACGUUGAGGCUCGAAAGCGUGGGGAGCAAACAGGAUUAGAUACCCGUGUAGUC
This 440-nucleotide ribosomal RNA is filed under the name uncultured bacterium. RNAcentral's name for it is "partial 16S ribosomal RNA". It matches the Rfam family "Bacterial small subunit ribosomal RNA", at positions 338 to 795 of the family's 1533-position model. The record is from RNAcentral.